CCCUGUAAUUUAUGAACCUAAUAGGCACCCAAGAUGGGAGGGGAUAAGCUUGCAAAUUAUGAAAGAGCUCAGGAAAGCGAUUAUUGAAUUCGGGCUGGGCUCCCCCUGUACCAGUGAUCUGUCAAGUUCUGUUAUGAAAAGUUACACUCUUUGUCCUUGUGACUGCAAGACCUUGGCACAAUUGAUUUUAACAAGUACUCAAUAGAUGAUGUGGAUGUGCAGAUUCUUUCCAAAAGCCCAACAAAAGGCGCUGGAGUGGAAGCUAUUAGAGCUCAGCAACUCAAAGCAGAGCAUGCAGAACCUGAGCCUGUGGCUCAUUUACCCCUGCAAGAGAAGGAGGAUCAAACAUCCAGCACGUGGGAGCUGGAGCUGCAGAAAGCUGCUGCUGAGACGUAUGCUGCUGUUUGGACUCUCACUCAUUCCAGCUGUUGGCAUUGUUGCAAUGUAUUUUUCUGAACCUUUUAGCUGCUGUAGCUGUUAUUCAGUACUCCAGAAAAUUCUAAGACAGGCCUAACAACACUGUCUGCAUUCUAAAUUAGAGAACAGUGUUUGCUAUAAAAUGACAUGCAUUCUUGUGCAGUAGAUUGGCAAUGUAGGAAGUUUUCUCAUAUUUGGUUGCAUAAUCCAACUUAGCUAGCCAAACAUCUUCUGGUGUUUAAGAAUAUAAUGUAUAUAUUUACAACUGUAUGUCUUACCUGCACCUGCCUGGCUUUCAUAAUUCUGAAUAUGUAAUUUCAGUGUUUUAAAAAAUAAUAAUAGAUUUCCCUUCAAAACUAACAAAACAAAAAACAAAAAAGGGGGAGGGGGAGAUGCGCAGGUGUGACCCCUGAGAAAAGAAUAGCUAAAGCAUGAUAACGUGGGAAAGAGGUUAUGCUUCUGUUUCCUCAGGUGCUGAACCACAAUGGGUUCCAGCCGAAGUCAUAAUGCCCUGCUUGUCUGCACCAACAGCAUCUGCUGCUUCUUCAGAUCUGUGACAACCUUCUGGGUAUCCUCCCAGCCGAAGCCUACAGAGGCAACUGGAGAAAUAUCUCAGUGUCAAGCACUGUGACAACUACCUCAAAAAAUUUCUGAUUUGUGGGGCAAAAGCAACAGAGUCCGUCACUCUCCUGACGCAGCUAAUGAACAAGAACUCCGUAAGAGUAAAGGAAACAGGGAAGAGGCCUGCAGAGACACCAGAAACCACCCCCUGCCCCACCACACUCUGCUGAUCCUCCUCCCUUUACCCUGGGGCCUGAUGCUAGGAUCCAGGAGUCUCUUUAAAGCUCUGUGCAUAAAUGGAUUAGCUUUGGAAAGCACUUCAGAAGAAAAAGUAUUUGUCAUUUUUAAUAAUUUCCGAAGAAUUGUCCUGCAAUGCGGACAAGGGUCUGAUAAAAACAGGCAUUGCAGGUUCCUAUCUUUCUUGGGAUUAACUUACAAAGCACGAAAAUGCAGAACCAAAGGGUACCACCACUGCAGACUUUGCACCAACUUAAAAAAUCCUCUUCUUCCUCCAGAAUGAGGACUGAUGCCUAUAACAAUCUUUGAUCCACAGCUCGGUGUGCCCUCACACACGCUUGCCCAUUUUUGAUGGUUACAUCCAUCUUCAACAUUUCAUACUCUCUGAACAGUAAGUUAACACUUCAAUGAUUCAAACAUUCAACUUUUUUCUAUAAACCCUCUCAGGCUUUUCCUCACCAUACCUCUCCCAUCAGAACACAAGCACCUGAAAGAUACAGGCUAGGAAGGGCGCAGUGUGAUGUAUUUUAAGAAGUUUCCCCCAAUGCCCAAAACACACUGCAACAACUUUGUUACAGAUCCAUCUAAAAAUAUUUUCUCUGUCCAACGACAUCAGAUACAGUCAUAAACAUGUGAUUAACAACAAGAAUAAACAAGAAGCACAAACAUGUUUCUUUAAACUUUAUUUAAGCUGUUUGAUUCUUAAGUAUCAAGAGUUAGGGUGCCUCAUAGAAUACUAUUACCACAGGGCAAUGAAAUGGGCAUUUUCUUACUGCAGUUCAAGGUGUAUUCAAUGAGAAGUUUUUUAAAAUAAAAGUUUUAUUAUCAAUACUGUUGAGCACUUCAUCUGCUGACCUAUAACUCAAACAGUGGUUCUAAAGCACAAAAAAAAAAGCUCUGAAAUAAAGCUUUAUGUACAGCACAUGUAGAGCUCUUAGAUGCCUAAAGCUGUUAGUUUAUUAUCUCAAAUUAAACUAAUAUUCUGAAUUGCUCUUCAUAGUUGAGCAUACUAGGAAUUAAGCAUCCAGAUUACUCUUUUUUGGAGUAAAAAAAAAUUUAAAAGUUGUCUGCUUUAGUUAUAAAGAGCUCUGGCAAUAUACACCAACUAUUCACUUCAGACAUUCACAAAAAAUGUGAGCAAAAAAAGGGUUAUCAAAAAACAUUUAAUA
This is a non-coding RNA of Phasianus colchicus (ring-necked pheasant), 2384 nucleotides long. NCBI's taxonomy places the organism in Eukaryota, Metazoa, Chordata, Aves, Galliformes, Phasianidae. The record is from RefSeq and is a predicted model, not a curated record.